GUUUGAUCAUGGCUCAGAUUGAACGCUGGCGGCAGGCCUAACACANNCAAGUCGAGCGGUAACAGAUCUAGCUUGCUAGAUGCUGACGAGCGGCGGACGGGUGAGUAAUGCAUAGGAAUCUGCCCGAUAGUGGGGGAUAACCUGGGGAAACCCAGGCUAAUACCGCAUACGUCCUACGGGAGAAAGGGGGCUUCGGCUCCCGCUAUUGGAUGAGCCUAUGUCGGAUUAGCUAGUUGGUAAGGUAAUGGCUUACCAAGGCAACGAUCCGUAGCUGGUCUGAGAGGAUGAUCAGCCACAUCGGGACUGAGACACGGCCCGAACUCUACGGGAGGCAGCAGUGGGGAAUAUUGGACAAUGGGGGCAACCCUGAUCCAGCCAUGCCGCGUGUGUGAAGAAGGCCCUCGGGUUGUAAAGCACUUUCAGCGAGGAAGAACGCCUGGUGGUUAAUACCCACUAGGAAAGACAUCACUCGCAGAAGAAGCACCGGCUAACUCCGUGCCAGCAGCCGCGGUAAUACGGAGGGUGCAAGCGUUAAUCGGAAUUACUGGGCGUAAAGCGCGCGUAGGUGGCUUGAUAAGCCGGUUGUGAAAGCCCCGGGCUCAACCUGGGAACGGCAUCCGGAACUGUCAGGCUAGAGUGCAGGAGAGGAAGGUAGAAUUCCCGGUGUAGCGGUGAAAUGCGUAGAGAUCGGGAGGAAUACCAGUGGCGAAGGCGGCCUUCUGGACUGAYACUGACACUGAG
Molecule: ribosomal RNA, 741 nt
Filed under: Halomonas sp. GWS-BW-H32M
Lineage: Bacteria; Pseudomonadati; Pseudomonadota; Gammaproteobacteria; Oceanospirillales; Halomonadaceae
Description: bacterial SSU rRNA
Rfam family: Bacterial small subunit ribosomal RNA
Source: RNAcentral